Molecule: ribosomal RNA, 406 nt
Filed under: uncultured bacterium
Lineage: Bacteria
Description: partial 16S ribosomal RNA
Rfam family: Bacterial small subunit ribosomal RNA
Source: RNAcentral
AUUGAACGCUGGCGGCAGGCCUAACACAUGCAAGUCGAACGAGUGGCGGACGGGUGAGUAAUGUCUGGGAAACUGCCCGAUGGAGGGGGAUAACUACUGGAAACGGUAGCUAAUACCGCAUACCAUCGGAUGUGCCCAGAUGGGAUUAGCGUGUAGGUGAGGUAACGGCUCAACUAGGCGACGAGCCCUAGCUGGUCUGAGAGGGUGACCAGACAGACUGGGACUGAGACAAGGUCAAGACGCCUACGGGAGGCAGCAGUGGGGAAUAUUGAAAAAUGGGCGCAAGCCUGAUAUAGUCAUGCCGCGGGGAUGAAGAAGGCCUUCGGGUUGUAAAUUACUUUCAGCGGGGAGGCGGUCCCCGCAGAAGAAGCACCGGCUAACUCCGUGCCAGCAGCCGCGGUAAUUC